AUGAACGCUAGCGGCAGGCCUAACACAUGCAAGUCGAGGGGUUAGCAGGAUUUAAGCUUGCUUAAUUGCUGACGACCGGCGCACGGGUGCGUAACGCGUAUGCAACUACCUUAUACUGGGGUAUAGCCCGGAGAAAUUCGGAUUAAUCCCCCAUAGUACUAUUUGAUCGCAUGGUUGAAUAGUUAAAGCAUUGCGGUAUAAGAUGGGCAUGCGUCCUAUUAGCUAGAUGGUGAGGUAACGGCUCACCAUGGCUACGAUAGGUAGGGGGCCUGAGAGGGUGGUCCCCCACACUGGUACUGAGACACGGACCAGACUCCUACGGGAGGCAGCAGUGAGGAAUAUUGGUCAAUGGGCGCAAGCCUGAACCAGCCAUGCCGCGUGCAGGAAGAAUGCCCUAUGGGUUGUAAACUGCUUUUAUUUGGGAAUAAACCUCUUUACGUGUAGAGAGCUGAAGGUACCAAAUGAAUAAGCACCGGCUAACUCCGUG
RNAcentral lists this ribosomal RNA (487 nucleotides) under uncultured bacterium. Its description in RNAcentral is "bacterial SSU rRNA". It matches the Rfam family "Bacterial small subunit ribosomal RNA", at positions 29 to 507 of the family's 1533-position model. The record is from RNAcentral.